GACGAACGCUGGCGGCGUGCUUAACACAUGCAAGUCGAACGGAAAGGCCCCUUUGGGGGUACUCGAGUGGCGAACGGGUGAGUAACACGUGAGUAACCUGCCCUUGACUUCGGGAUAACUUCAGGAAACUGGGGCUAAUACCGGAUAGGAGUCCUUGCUGCAUGGUGGGGGUUGGAAAGCUUCGGCGGUUUUGGAUGGACUCGCGGCUUAUCAGCUUGUUGGUGGGGUAGUGGCUUACCAAGGCUUUGACGGGUAGCCGGCCUGAGAGGGCGACCGGCCACAUUGGGACUGAGAUACGGCCCAGACUCCUACGGGAGGCAGCAGUGGGGAAGAUUGCACAAUGGGCGGAAGCCUGAUGCAGCAACGCCGCGGGCGGGAUGACGGCCUUCGGGUUGUAAACCGCUUUCAGCAGGGGCGAAGCUUGUGGUGACGGUACCUGCAGAAGAAGCACCGGCUAACUACGUG
RNAcentral lists this ribosomal RNA (465 nucleotides) under uncultured bacterium. RNAcentral describes it as "partial 16S ribosomal RNA". It matches the Rfam family "Bacterial small subunit ribosomal RNA", at positions 28 to 507 of the family's 1533-position model. The record is from RNAcentral.